GUUCAUCUUUCAUAAGUCUAAGAAUUUCACCUUUUCUGUGAAAUAUAAAUGCCUCCGACUGUCCACUGGUGCAGGAGUGUUGGAUUGACAG
This 91-nucleotide ribosomal RNA is filed under the name Solanum lycopersicum (tomato). RNAcentral describes it as "partial 18S ribosomal RNA". The record is from RNAcentral. Lineage: Eukaryota; Viridiplantae; Streptophyta; Magnoliopsida; Solanales; Solanaceae.